RNAcentral lists this ribosomal RNA (465 nucleotides) under Vreelandella stevensii. RNAcentral describes it as "partial 16S ribosomal RNA". It matches the Rfam family "Bacterial small subunit ribosomal RNA", at positions 338 to 795 of the family's 1533-position model. Lineage: Bacteria; Pseudomonadati; Pseudomonadota; Gammaproteobacteria; Oceanospirillales; Halomonadaceae. The record is from RNAcentral.
CCUACGGGUCGCUGCAGUGGGGAAUAUUGGACAAUGGGCGAAAGCCUGAUCCAGCCAUGCCGCGUGUGUGAAGAAGGCCUUCGGGUUGUAAAGCACUUUCAGUGGGGAAGAAAGCCUUGGGGCUAAUACCCUCGAGGAAGGACAUCACCCACAGAAGAAGCACCGGCUAACUCCGUGCCAGCAGCCGCGGUAAUACGGAGGGUGCGAGCGUUAAUCGGAAUUACUGGGCGUAAAGCGCGCGUAGGCGGUCUGAUAAGCCGGUUGUGAAAGCCCCGGGCUCAACCUGGGAACGGCAUCCGGAACUGUCAGGCUAGAGUGCAGGAGAGGAAGGUAGAAUUCCCGGUGUAGCGGUGAAAUGCGUAGAGAUCGGGAGGAAUACCAGUGGCGAAGGCGGCCUUCUGGACUGACACUGACGCUGAGGUGCGAAAGCGUGGGUAGCAAACAGGAUUAGAUACCCCGGUAGUC